AGGGAAGGCGGGGGGCAGGCCUAACACAUGCAAGUCGAGCGGAUGAAGGGAGCUUGCUCCUGGAUUCAGCGGCGGACGGGUGAGUAAUGCCUAGGAAUCUGCCUGGUAGUGGGGGAUAACGUCCGGAAACGGGCGCUAAUACCGCAUACGUCCUGAGGGAGAAAGUGGGGGAUCUUCGGACCUCACGCUAUCAGAUGAGCCUAGGUCGGAUUAGCUAGUUGGUGGGGUAAAGGCCUACCAAGGCGACGAUCCGUAACUGGUCUGAGAGGAUGAUCAGUCACACUGGAACUGAGACACGGUCCAGACUCCUACGGGAGGCAGCAGUGGGGAAUAUUGGACAAUGGGCGAAAGCCUGAUCCAGCCAUGCCGCGUGUGUGAAGAAGGUCUUCGGAUUGUAAAGCACUUUAAGUUGGGAGGAAGGGCAGUAAGUUAAUACCUUGCUGUUUUGACGUUACCAACAGAAUAAGCACCGGCUAACUUCGUG
Molecule: ribosomal RNA, 484 nt
Filed under: uncultured bacterium
Lineage: Bacteria
Description: partial 16S ribosomal RNA
Rfam family: Bacterial small subunit ribosomal RNA
Source: RNAcentral